UGGGGAAUAUUGGGCAAUGGGGGAAACCCUGACCCAGCAACGCCGCGUGAAGGAAGAAGGCUUUCGGGUUGUAAACUUCUUUUACCAGGGACGAAGAAAGUGACGGUACCUGGAGAAAAAGCCACGGCUAACUACGUGCCAGCAGCCGCGGUAAUACGUAGGGGGCGAGCGUUGUCCGGAAUUACUGGGCGUAAAGGGAGCGUAGGCGGUCGAUUAAGUUAGAUGUGAAACCCCCGGGCUUAACUUGGGGACUGCAUCUAAUACUGGUUGACUUAGAGUACAGGAGAGGGAAGCGGAAUUCCUAGUGUAGCGGUGAAAUGCGUAGAUAUUAGGAGGAACACCAGUGGCGAAGGCGGCUUUCUGGACUGACACUGACGCUGAGGCUCG
This 387-nucleotide ribosomal RNA is filed under the name uncultured Clostridium sp. Its description in RNAcentral is "bacterial SSU rRNA". It matches the Rfam family "Bacterial small subunit ribosomal RNA", at positions 355 to 755 of the family's 1533-position model. Lineage: Bacteria; Bacillati; Bacillota; Clostridia; Eubacteriales; Clostridiaceae. The record is from RNAcentral.